GCAUCACAUCCAUCACCACGGAUCGUCGGGCACGUACCUGCCCGUGAAGGAGAACACCG
Molecule: non-coding RNA, 59 nt
Organism: Clavibacter michiganensis
Lineage: Bacteria; Bacillati; Actinomycetota; Actinomycetes; Micrococcales; Microbacteriaceae
Source: Rfam